Molecule: ribosomal RNA, 448 nt
Filed under: uncultured bacterium
Lineage: Bacteria
Description: partial 16S ribosomal RNA
Rfam family: Bacterial small subunit ribosomal RNA
Source: RNAcentral
AACGAACGCUGGCGGCAGGCUUAACACAUGCAAGUCGAGCGCCCUUUUCGGAGGGAGCGGCAGACGGGUGAGUAACACGUAGGAAUCUACCCAUCACUACGGAACAACCCCGGGAAACUGGAGCUAAUACCGUAUACGUCCUUCGGGAGAAAGAUUUAUCGGUGAUGGAUGAGCCCGCGUUGGAUUAGCUAGUUGGUGGGGUAAAGGCCUACCAAGGCGACGAUCCAUAGCUGGUCUGAGAGGAUGAUCAGCCACACUGGGACUGAGACACGGCCCAGACUCCUACGGGAGGCAGCAGUGGGGAAUAUUGGACAAUGGGCGCAAGUCUGAUCCAGCCAUGCCGCGUGAGUGAUGAAGGCCCUAGGGUUGUAAAGCUCUUUCACCGGUGAAGAUAAUGACGGUAACCGGAGAAGAAGCCCCGGCUAACUUCGUGCCAGCAGCCGCCGUA